This 494-nucleotide ribosomal RNA is filed under the name uncultured bacterium. Its description in RNAcentral is "partial 16S ribosomal RNA". It matches the Rfam family "Bacterial small subunit ribosomal RNA", at positions 28 to 507 of the family's 1533-position model. The record is from RNAcentral.
GACGAACGCUGGCGGCGUGCUUAACACAUGCAAGUCGAACGGUGAAGCGCCUUCCUUUUUGGUGGGUGUGGAUGAGUGGCGAACGGGUGAGUAACACGUGAGUAACCUGCCCCCUUCUUCUGGAUAACCGCAUGAAAGUGUUGCUAAUACGGGAUAUUCUGGGUCUGUCGCAUGAUGGGUCUGGGAAAGAUAUUGUUUCGGUGGGGGAUGGGCUCGCGGCCUAUCAGCUUGUUGGUGGGGUGAUGGCCUACCAAGGCGGUGACGGGUAGCCGGCCUGAGAGGGUGGACGGUCACACUGGGACUGAGACACGGCCCAGACUCCUACGGGAGGCAGCAGUGGGGAAUAUGGCACAAUGGGCGCAAGCCUGAUGCAGCGACGCCGCGUGAGGGAUGGAGGCCUUCGGGUUGUGAACCUCUUUCGCCAGUGAAGCAGGCCUGCCUCGUUUGUGGGUGGGUUGACGGUAGCUGGAGAAGAAGCGCCGGCUAACUACGUG